This 393-nucleotide ribosomal RNA is filed under the name uncultured Chrysophyceae. Its description in RNAcentral is "partial small subunit ribosomal RNA". It matches the Rfam family "Eukaryotic small subunit ribosomal RNA", at positions 30 to 432 of the family's 1831-position model. Lineage: Eukaryota; Chrysophyceae. The record is from RNAcentral.
GCUUGUCUCAAAGAUUAAGCCAUGCAUGUCUAAGUACAAGCCUCAGUAAGGUGAAACUGCGAAUGGCUCAUUAAAUCAGUUAUAGUUUAUUUGAUAAUACCUUACUACUUGGAUAACCGUGGUAAUUCUAGAGCUAAUACAUGCUACACAACCCGACUUCUGGAAGGGGUGUAUUUAUUAGAUGGAAACCAAUGCGGGGCAACCCGGAUUCUGGUGAUUCAUAAUAACUUUCGGAUCGAUCCUCGGAUCGAUGCAUCAUUCAAGUUUCUGCCCUAUCAGCUUUGGAUGGUAGGGUAUUGGCCUACCAUGGCUUUAACGGGUAACGGAGAAUUAGGGUUCGAUUCCGGAGAGGGAGCCUGAGAAAUGGCUACCACAUCCAAGGAAGGCAGCAGG